AUGCAGAGAAACAGGAGAGAAAUCAGAGAACAAGGUGUCCUUUGUCCAUUUGAUUUGAUACUAGUACGUAGUGGAUCAGAGUACACGAUAUAUAGGGCUUAUAACGCAGCCCACACACACACACACUCACUGACCAGCCGCUAUCCCACCCCACUAGCACGACGUCGACAUUCCUCCGCUGUAUCUGCUGACCCAGUCGUUGGCUCAUCACGGAGUCACGCGCGCGCCAUCUCGAGGUCGCAGCGGAAGACGGGAACGGGCUGGCCCUGGCCGUGCGCUCGGCGGCGGCGGCGGAUGCACACGAGAGUGCAGGCGAUGACGGCGACGAAGCAGGCAACCGCCACGGUGGCCGCCAGCGCCACGGCCACCGUGUGGAGCGGGCCGGGCGGCGGCGCGGGCACCGGCGGCGGCGGAGGAGGUGCUGGGAGCGCGAGGCGGGGGAGGUCGGCGCCGGGGUCGACCUCGUCCGCGGUCACCGCGGCGGCGCCAGCGGCGGCGAGGAGGAGGAAGAGGAGGAGGUGCGCUCGCGGUGGCGCCAUCUGGUCGUGGUCGUGGUCGUGGAGGAAUGCCUAG
RNAcentral lists this ribosomal RNA (573 nucleotides) under Triticum aestivum (bread wheat). RNAcentral's name for it is "partial small subunit ribosomal RNA". The record is from RNAcentral. Lineage: Eukaryota; Viridiplantae; Streptophyta; Magnoliopsida; Poales; Poaceae.